This 557-nucleotide ribosomal RNA is filed under the name Escherichia coli. RNAcentral describes it as "partial 23S ribosomal RNA". It matches the Rfam family "Bacterial large subunit ribosomal RNA", at positions 633 to 1191 of the family's 2925-position model. The record is from RNAcentral. Lineage: Bacteria; Pseudomonadati; Pseudomonadota; Gammaproteobacteria; Enterobacterales; Enterobacteriaceae.
UUCUGUAGCAAGGUUAACCGAAUAGGGGAGCCGAAGGGAAACCGAGUCUUAACUGGGCGUUAAGUUGCAGGGUAUAGACCCGAAACCCGGUGAUCUAGCCAUGGGCAGGUUGAAGGUUGGGUAACACUAACUGGAGGACCGAACCGACUAAUGUUGAAAAAUUAGCGGAUGACUUGUGGCUGGGGGUGAAAGGCCAAUCAAACCGGGAGAUAGCUGGUUCUCCCCGAAAGCUAUUUAGGUAGCGCCUCGUGAAUUCAUCUCCGGGGGUAGAGCACUGUUUCGGCAAGGGGGUCAUCCCGACUUACCAACCCGAUGCAAACUGCGAAUACCGGAGAAUGUUAUCACGGGAGACACACGGCGGGUGCUAACGUCCGUCGUGAAGAGGGAAACAACCCAGACCGCCAGCUAAGGUCCCAAAGUCAUGGUUAAGUGGGAAACGAUGUGGGAAGGCCCAGACAGCCAGGAUGUUGGCUUAGAAGCAGCCAUCAUUUAAAGAAAGCGUAAUAGCUCACUGGUCGAGUCGGCCUGCGCGGAAGAUGUAACGGGGCUAAACCAUG